Molecule: ribosomal RNA, 1948 nt
Organism: Drosophila sechellia
Lineage: Eukaryota; Metazoa; Arthropoda; Insecta; Diptera; Drosophilidae
Rfam family: Eukaryotic large subunit ribosomal RNA
Source: Rfam
AACCUAAUAGCGUAAUUAACUUGACUAAUAAUGGGAUUAGUUUUUUAGCUAUUUAUAGCUAAUUAACACAAUCCCGGGGCGUUCUAUAUAGUUAUGUAUAAUGUAUAUUUAUAUUAUUUAUGCCUCUAACUGGAACGUACCUUGAGCAUAUAUGCUGUGACCCGAAAGAUGGUGAACUAUACUUGAUCAGGUUGAAGUCAGGGGAAACCCUGAUGGAAGACCGAAACAGUUCUGACGUGCAAAUCGAUUGUCAGAAUUGAGUAUAGGGGCGAAAGACCAAUCGAACCAUCUAGUAGCUGGUUCCUUCCGAAGUUUCCCUCAGGAUAGCUGGUGCAUUUUAAUAUUAUAUAAAAUAAUCUUAUCUGGUAAAGCGAAUGAUUAGAGGCCUUAGGGUCGAAACGAUCUUAACCUAUUCUCAAACUUUAAAUGGGUAAGAACCUUAACUUUCUUGAUAUGAAGUUCAAGGUUAUGAUAUAAUGUGCCCAGUGGGCCACUUUUGGUAAGCAGAACUGGCGCUGUGGGAUGAAUGUAAUGUUACGGUGCCCAAAUUAACAACUCAUGCAGAUACCAUGAAAGGCGUUGGUUGCUUAAAACAGCAGGACGGUGAUCAUGGAAGUCGAAAUUCGCUAAGGAGUGUGUAACAACUCACCUGCCGAAGCAACUAGCCCUUAAAAUGGAUGGCGCUUAAGUUGUAUACCUAUACAUUACCGCUAAAGUAGAUGAUUUAUAUUACUUGUGAUAUAAAUUUUGAAACUUUAGUGAGUAGGAAGGUACAAUGGUAUGCGUAGAAGUGUUUGGCGUAAGCCUGCAUGGAGCUGCCAUUGGUACAGAUCUUGGUGGUAGUAGCAAAUAAUCGAAUGAGACCUUGGAGGACUGAAGUGGAGAAGGGUUUCGUGUGAACAGUGGUUGAUCACGAGUUAGUCGGUCCUAAGUUCAAGGCGAAAGCCGAAAAUUUUCAAGUAAAACAAAAAUGCCUAACUAUAUAAACAAAGCGAAUAUAAUACACUUGAAAAAUUUUGAACGAAAGGGAAUACGGUUCCAAUUCCGUAACCUGUUGAGUAUCCGUUUGUUAUUAAAUAUGGGCCUCGUGCUCAUCCUGGCAACAGGAACGACCAUAAAGAAGCCGUCGAGAGAUAUCGGAAGAGUUUUCUUUUCUGUUUUAUAGCCGUACUACCAUGGAAGUCUUUCGCAGAGAGAUAUGGUAGAUGGGCUAGAAGAGCAUGACAUAUACUGUUGUGUCGAUAUUUUCUCCUCGGACCUUGAAAAUUUAUGGUGGGGACACGCAAACUUCUCAACAGGCCGUACCAAUAUCCGCAGCUGGUCUCCAAGGUGAAGAGUCUCUAGUCGAUAGAAUAAUGUAGGUAAGGGAAGUCGGCAAAUUAGAUCCGUAACUUCGGGAUAAGGAUUGGCUCUGAAGAUUGAGAUAGUCGGGCUUGAUUGGGAAACAAUAACAUGGUUUAUGUGCUCGUUCUGGGUAAAUAGAGUUUCUAGCAUUUAUGUUAGUUACUUGUUCCCCGGAUAGUUUAGUUACGUAGCCAAUUGUGGAACUUUCUUGCUAAAAUUUUUAAGAAUACUAUUUGGGUUAAACCAAUUAGUUCUUAUCAAUUAUAACGAUUAUCAAUUAACAAUCAAUUCAGAACUGGCACGGACUUGGGGAAUCCGACUGUCUAAUUAAAACAAAGCAUUGUGAUGGCCCUAGCGGGUGUUGACACAAUGUGAUUUCUGCCCAGUGCUCUGAAUGUCAAAGUGAAGAAAUUCAAGUAAGCGCGGGUCAACGGCGGGAGUAACUAUGACUCUCUUAGGGUAGCCAAAUGCCUCGUCAUCUAAUUAGUGACGCGCAUGAAUGGAUUAACGAGAUUCCUACUGUCCCUAUCUACUAUCUAGCGAAACCCCAGCCAAGGGACGGGGCUUGGGAUAAUUAGCCGGGGAAAAGAAGACCCUUUUGAGC